RNAcentral lists this ribosomal RNA (459 nucleotides) under uncultured Lactobacillaceae bacterium. RNAcentral's name for it is "bacterial SSU rRNA". It matches the Rfam family "Bacterial small subunit ribosomal RNA", at positions 341 to 792 of the family's 1533-position model. Lineage: Bacteria; Bacillati; Bacillota; Bacilli; Lactobacillales; Lactobacillaceae. The record is from RNAcentral. RNAcentral also lists the same sequence under 1 other name.
ACGGGAGGCAGCAGUAGGGAAUCUUCCACAAUGGGCGAAAGCCUGAUGGAGCAACGCCGCGUGUGUGAUGAAGGGUUUCGGCUCGUAAAACACUGUUGUAAGAGAAGAAUGACAUUGAGAGUAACUGUUCAAUGUGUGACGGUAUCUUACCAGAAAGGAACGGCUAAAUACGUGCCAGCAGCCGCGGUAAUACGUAUGUUCCAAGCGUUAUCCGGAUUUAUUGGGCGUAAAGCGAGCGCAGACGGUUAUUUAAGUCUGAAGUGAAAGCCCUCAGCUCAACUGAGGAAUUGCUUUGGAAACUGGAUGACUUGAGUGCAGUAGAGGAAAGUGGAACUCCAUGUGUAGCGGUGAAAUGCGUAGAUAUAUGGAAGAACACCAGUGGCGAAGGCGGCUUUCUGGACUGUAACUGACGUUGAGGCUCGAAAGUGUGGGUAGCAAACAGGAUUAGAUACCCUGGUA